Rosa rugosa (rugosa rose) is the source of this 1823-nucleotide long non-coding RNA. RefSeq lists it as uncharacterized. The record is from RefSeq and is a predicted model, not a curated record. The transcript has 11 exons. Lineage: Eukaryota; Viridiplantae; Streptophyta; Magnoliopsida; Rosales; Rosaceae.
AUGAAUGAACAGUGUACUUACGGUUUUGCCCCCAUCUUUUCUGGGCGUUUUACACUCUUGCCCCUGGCUGCUUUGCUGUCUGUAUCGGACACCUGUUAUUUCGUUUGUUUGCCACGGACCCUGCCACCGCUUUGACCUGUGUGUUUUGGUAGUUGACCCAUCGGCAGAAAGAGAGAGGCGUUGAUCUGUCUCCCUUGGUAGUUGAUCCAUAGACUGAGAGACUGAGAGAGAGAGAGAGAGAGAGAGGAGUUUGAUCCACAGAGAAACAGAGAGAUAGAGAAAGGGCGAAGAGUUUGCAUGAUCGAGCCCGGAGUUCAGUAGCCUGGAGAUUUGACGAUUUUUGUCUCACGGAUAUAGGUCGUGGCUUGCUAAUCAGUUUUGGUUCUGCUUCUUUAACAUCCCUGUUUGAUAUCUUCAAGAUUUAUUCACAUGUCAAUGAUUUGCUGUGGAUAAGAAGGAAAGAGGGACUGUGAUAGAGGUCGAAAGAGACUCUGAGAGCGAAGAGGCUCUUUUGCUUUAACCAAAACACUCCAAUAGCUCAAGUGAAACUCGCCUGCAGUCUAUUUGUUCUUUUGAUUUGACGAUGAAGGUCUCUAAUCUGACGAUCCGUACUAUAGCAUUUAAAAGAAACUUGAAAAACAAACACAUUCAUCAGAAGCUUGGUUGAGACGGAGGGACGAGAAGAUCGAGGAGGACGAAGAUGGAACUGGGUCUUAAGAUACUCCAAAAUGGUCCAAGUGAGGGAUAGAAGAGGGGGGAAGAUCUCGGCGAGAAUAGACCGGGUGGAAGGUAUUUUUGCUUCUUUGGUGGCUUUGAUGUUCAAUUGCGUGAAGAAAGAUGACAUUGAUUACUCUCCUUAAGAAGAGGGCGAGUGGAGAUAUUGAAGGGUUGAGUAGUUUUGAUGGGGAUGUUCUUCAGUCGACCAUAUUCAAAUCCGGGGUUGACUUCAAGAACAACAAUGUUUUGGUGGUUGUCUCUGGGAAUUCUGGCAUGGAAAUUGCUUUGGAUCUGGCAAACGAUGGUGCAAAGACUUCAAUCAUUGUUCAAAGCCCGGUAACUUACUGUUGGAGUUGGAGUAGCCAAAUUAUUUGAUGCAAGAUUUGCUUAAAUUUUCCGGAAAGUUUCAGAAAUUCAGAAUUUGAGCAGAUUAGGAGAGAAUUUAUUUCAGCAGAGUCAAGGUUGUUCACUCUUGGGAAUACAUGAUACACCAACAUUACAGGCAAAGGAAAGACUUUUUCUUGAUUGAAAAUGGCAGGUACAUAUUUAACAGUGUCUUUUGGACCAUGAAGUACAUAAUGACACACCAGUAACUUUUUAUUUUCUGAAGUAGAUACGCAAUUUACAACAGUGAAUUAUGGAGCAGUAAUGUAGCUGGAAAAGAAGAAACUAAAUCUACACAAAUAAAAAUGCAACAUUUCUUUUUUUCGGUGUAGCUUACUGAAAUCAUUCAGAUUUUAAACAUGUCAAAGGUUACAUCACAGUGGAAGUUUACAAGGAUGGUUCUCCAAAGGUUGUGGAUAGAUUUCUCGAUUUAUGGUUUUAUUCGGAAUCUUAUCAAGAGGAAGCAACUAAUUGAUGCUGUUAGAUGCAUUUGCAUCUUGCAGUUAAUUGACAAGUUCUGCCAAAAAAAGAAGAAGAAUUUAUCCAACCUCUGGCUGCAUAUAUGGCUCCAUGCACUCUGAACAAAAAAGUAAUUACACUAUUGGUUCAUCACAGCCUCAACCAACCAUUACAAAGUUCAUUCAGCACAAACUGGAAGGAAAAGAGGAGGAAAGAAAUGAAAACAUAGGACAAAAUGAUCUUCUUGCACGAUGCAGAAUAAU